CUAAGUUUGAUGGCGACCGGCGCACGGGUGAGUAACACGUAUCCAACCUGCCGAUGACUCGGGGAUAGCCUUUCGAAAGAAAGAUUAAUACCCGAUGGCAUAGUUCUUCCGCAUGGUAGAACUAUUAAAGAAUUUCGGUCAUCGAUGGGGAUGCGUUCCAUUAGGUUGUUGGCGGGGUAACGGCCCACCAAGCCUCCGAUGGAUAGGGGUUCUGAGAGGAAGGUCCCCCACAUUGGAACUGAGACACGGUCCAAACUCCUACGGGAGGCAGCAUG
Molecule: ribosomal RNA, 275 nt
Filed under: uncultured bacterium
Lineage: Bacteria
Description: partial 16S ribosomal RNA
Rfam family: Bacterial small subunit ribosomal RNA
Source: RNAcentral